RNAcentral lists this ribosomal RNA (465 nucleotides) under Vreelandella stevensii. Its description in RNAcentral is "partial 16S ribosomal RNA". It matches the Rfam family "Bacterial small subunit ribosomal RNA", at positions 338 to 795 of the family's 1533-position model. Lineage: Bacteria; Pseudomonadati; Pseudomonadota; Gammaproteobacteria; Oceanospirillales; Halomonadaceae. The record is from RNAcentral.
CCUACGGGAGGCAGCAGUGGGGAAUAUUGGACAAUGGGGGCAACCCUGAUCCAGCCAUGCCGCGUGUGUGAAGAAGGCCCUCGGGUUGUAAAGCACUUUCAGUGAGGAAGAACGCCUGGUGGUUAAUACCUAUCAGGAAAGACAUCACUCACAGAAGAAGCACCGGCUAACUCCGUGCCAGCAGCCGCGGUAAUACGGAGGGUGCGAGCGUUAAUCGGAAUUACUGGGCGUAAAGCGCGCGUAGGUGGCUUGAUAAGCCGGUUGUGAAAGCCCCGGGCUCAACCUGGGAACGGCAUCCGGAACUGUCAAGCUAGAGUGCAGGAGAGGAAGGUAGAAUUCCCGGUGUAGCGGUGAAAUGCGUAGAGAUCGGGAGGAAUACCAGUGGCGAAGGCGGCCUUCUGGACUGACACUGACACUGAGGUGCGAAAGCGUGGGUAGCAAACAGGAUUAGAUACCCGAGUAGUC